AGACUUAUCUGACAGGGGAGAUACCAUGAACGUGAGGAUAGUUUUCCCAAGGCAAGUUUCAACCCAUGCAAUCUGGAUGAUGAGACAUUACUUAAUGGGGACAAUGCAUGUGAUUUGGGUGGUGGAUACUGUAGAAACACUAACUUCACCACUAUACGAUCCAU
Nomascus leucogenys (northern white-cheeked gibbon) is the source of this 164-nucleotide small nuclear RNA. Its record names the gene U1. It matches the Rfam family "U1 spliceosomal RNA". From Rfam's summary of the family: U1 is a small nuclear RNA (snRNA) component of the spliceosome (involved in pre-mRNA splicing). Its 5' end forms complementary base pairs with the 5' splice junction, thus defining the 5' donor site of an intron. The record is from Ensembl. Lineage: Eukaryota; Metazoa; Chordata; Mammalia; Primates; Hylobatidae.